CCUACGGGCGGCAGCAGUGGGGAAUAUUGGACAAUGGGGGGAACCCUGAUCCAGCCAUGCCGCGUGUGUGAAGAAGGCCCUCGGGUUGUAAAGCACUUUCAGUGAGGAAGAACGCCUGGUGGUUAAUACCCAUCAGGAAAGACAUCACUCACAGAAGAAGCACCGGCUAACUCCGUGCCAGCAGCCGCGGUAAUACGGAGGGUGCGAGCGUUAAUCGGAAUUACUGGGCGUAAAGCGCGCGUAGGUGGCUUGAUAAGCCGGUUGUGAAAGCCCCGGGCUCAACCUGGGAACGGCAUCCGGAACUGUCAAGCUAGAGUGCAGGAGAGGAAGGUAGAAUUCCCGGUGUAGCGGUGAAAUGCGUAGAGAUCGGGAGGAAUACCAGUGGCGAAGGCGGCAUUCUGGACUGACACUGACACUGAGGUGCGAAAGCGUGGGUAGCAAACAGGAUUAGAUACCCUAGUAGUC
This 465-nucleotide ribosomal RNA is filed under the name Vreelandella stevensii. RNAcentral's name for it is "partial 16S ribosomal RNA". It matches the Rfam family "Bacterial small subunit ribosomal RNA", at positions 338 to 795 of the family's 1533-position model. The record is from RNAcentral. Lineage: Bacteria; Pseudomonadati; Pseudomonadota; Gammaproteobacteria; Oceanospirillales; Halomonadaceae.